Molecule: ribosomal RNA, 628 nt
Filed under: bacterium 63-L049616-122-011-G08
Lineage: Bacteria
Description: bacterial SSU rRNA
Rfam family: Bacterial small subunit ribosomal RNA
Source: RNAcentral
UGCAGUCGAACGAUGAACCACUUCGGUGGGGAUUAGUGGCGAACGGGUGAGUAACACGUGGGCAAUCUGCCCUUCACUCUGGGACAAGCCCUGGAAACGGGGUCUAAUACCGGAUAAUACUUCCACGGGCAUCUGUGGGGGUUGAAAGCUCCGGCGGUGAAGGAUGAGCCCGCGGCCUAUCAGCUUGUUGGUGAGGUAAUGGCUCACCAAGGCGACGACGGGUAGCCGGCCUGAGAGGGCGACCGGCCACACUGGGACUGAGACACGGCCCAGACUCCUACGGGAGGCAGCAGUGGGGAAUAUUGCACAAUGGGCGAAAGCCUGAUGCAGCGACGCCGCGUGAGGGAUGACGGCCUUCGGGUUGUAAACCUCUUUCAGCAGGGAAGAAGCGAAAGUGACGGUACCUGCAGAAGAAGCGCCGGCUAACUACGUGCCAGCAGCCGCGGUAAUACGUAGGGCGCAAGCGUUGUCCGGAAUUAUUGGGCGUAAAGAGCUCGUAGGCGGCUUGUCACGUCGGGUGUGAAAGCCCGGGGCUUAACCCCGGGUCUGCAUUCGAUACGGGCUAGCUAGAGUGUGGUAGGGGAGAUCGGAAUUCCUGGUGUAGCGGUGAAAUGCGCAGAUAUCAGGA